RNAcentral lists this ribosomal RNA (247 nucleotides) under uncultured bacterium. Its description in RNAcentral is "partial 16S ribosomal RNA". It matches the Rfam family "Bacterial small subunit ribosomal RNA", at positions 524 to 771 of the family's 1533-position model. The record is from RNAcentral.
UACAGAGGUCUCAAGCGUUGUUCGGAUUCAUUGGGCGUAAAGGGUGCGUAGGUGGCGGGGCAAGUUUGGUGUGAAAUCCCGGGGCUCAACCCCGGAACUGCACUGAAUACUGCCUUGCUAGAGCACUGGAGAGGGAACUGGAAUUUACGGUGUAGCAGUGAAAUGCGUAGAUAUCGUAAGGAAGACCAGUGGCGAAGGCGAGUCCUGGACAGUUGCUGACACUGAGGCACGGAAGGCUAGGGAGCAA